Molecule: ribosomal RNA, 301 nt
Filed under: uncultured bacterium
Lineage: Bacteria
Description: partial 16S ribosomal RNA
Rfam family: Bacterial small subunit ribosomal RNA
Source: RNAcentral
CAGUCGCCGCGGGAAUACGUAGGUGGCAAGCGUUGUCCGGAAUUAUUGGGCGUAAAGGGCUCGCAGGCGGUUUCUUAAGUCUGAUGUGAAAGCCCCCGGCUCAACCGGGGAGGGUCAUUGGAAACUGGGAAACUUGAGUGCAGAAGAGGAGAGUGGAAUUCCACGUGUAGCGGUGAAAUGCGUAGAGAUGUGGAGGAACACCAGUGGCGAAGGUGACUCUCUGGUCUGUAACUGACGCUGAGGAGCGAAAGCGUGGGGAGCGAACAGGAUUAGAUACCCGAGUAGUCCCUGUCUCUUAUAC